Molecule: non-coding RNA, 200 nt
Organism: Oryza barthii
Lineage: Eukaryota; Viridiplantae; Streptophyta; Magnoliopsida; Poales; Poaceae
Source: Rfam
AAUAACAUGUGCUACCGUGUUCAACGUUUAACUAUCAGUCUUAUUUGAAAAUUUUAUGAAAAUUUCAAAAAAAGUUAGCCACACAUAAAGUUCUAUUCAUGUUUUAUCAUCUAAUACCAAUAAAAAUACUAAUCAUAUUUUUUCUUUAUAUAAGACAGAUGGUUAAACUUUGGACACGGAAACCUAUUACUGCAUUUGUA